RNAcentral lists this ribosomal RNA (381 nucleotides) under Triticum aestivum (bread wheat). RNAcentral describes it as "partial small subunit ribosomal RNA". The record is from RNAcentral. Lineage: Eukaryota; Viridiplantae; Streptophyta; Magnoliopsida; Poales; Poaceae.
AUGGAAAACCUGUUUCACCUGUGGUAUGUGUCCUAUGGUACUAAUGGAUUUGGUCAGUGUCCUGUUGGCAGAUUAACUUCACUUCAAGAAUUGUAUAACUUCAGUAUUCAGUCAGAGGAAGGUUACCGAAUAAGUUCAUUGAUGAAUUUAACAAGCCUUUGCAAGCUACGACUGUGCAACCUUGAGAAUGUUGAAAGGCAUGAAGAGGUUAUAGAGGCCAAGAUAAAUGAGAAAUCCUAUCUUAGGUCACUGUCACUUAACUGGUCUGAAACUAAUGAGGCUCUGAAGGAAGACAAUCUGGUUCUUGAUAUACUUGAGCCACAUGCUCGUCUUGAAAAUCUUGAAAUUACAGGAUACAGUGGUGUCCGAUUCCCACCUUGA